CUUCAUUAAAAGGCUGUGUAACCAAAACUUGGUAUUAUACUUUCUUCUUAGUAUCUUGAAAUGUUUGUUAAGGAGUUAUAAUUAUACCACUCUCUACUGAGAGUUUGAUCAGUGCUACAACACACAUAGCCCUGUACCUACAUAGGGAUUCUCAAUGAAACUCAGUGAGGAAGAUACAUCAUCAUCAUCAUCCCUACUCUAUCGAUGAAGAAACCUGAUGAGCCUUCUAGCACCAGGUGUCACCUAGAAAGGACAGAGGGGCCUGGCCUCCCCUCCCACAAUGUGCCAAGUGGAGUUUGAGCUGGCCCACACUGCCCUCAAGCAGCUGAAGGGUACUGUGUGCGAUCAGGAGAAAACUGCUGGUGUACAGCUUCUGCAAACAGCCCACCCAGAGCGACUGCAACAUCCCUGCCCCUUCAGCCUCAGAUGUGAAAGCCAAGGCCAAGUAGGAGGCAUGGAAUGUGAACAAAGGGAUGUCUAAGAUGGACACCAUGAGGAUCUAUGUUGCCAAAGUAGAAAAGCUGAAGAAGAAUGAGGCUGGCUAAGGACACAUUAGCAAACACAAGGAAAGCAGCAUGGCUCCUCUGGUACAGAAUGCUCUUCCUUAAAAACCUUGAUGGCUGAAAUGUCCUGAAACCAAAGCAAGUUUAGCUGAGACAUCAAUAAAUCACUUAAACUGCAUGAGAGUGACUGUCUGCUGCUGGAAAAGAGAAACACAGUGACUGUGAGUGCUCGGGAGGUGUCCAAAUGUACAAACUGGUUUUUUGUAUGGUUUUGAGUGGAGUUCCCAGCUUUCCUAUUAUAAGAGUUAGGUAGGCAUUUGGCAGGAGUAGAGGGGUUAGGGGGAAAAUGUGCUAUGGAAAUGCCCAAGGGCUGAGGUCAGUGAGACCAUUCUCCAGUGACAGCCUCUUGGGAGGCUGAGGCUCCAACCCUUUACCUCUUCAGGGUUGAUUCACUAAUAACCCAGCACUAUAAGGGGAAAGGGACUCUGUCCUCCAAAAAGCUGAAGUCAAGUCCAAAAGGCCCCAUUGGCACACAGGCCCUAAGAAGUUAAUGUUUUUAGGGAGACCAAGUUUUUAGUGAUAAUGUGGUGAAACAAUUGAUGCAGCACAAUACAGCAGAUGAGAAACAAUGGAGCACAUAGUGUCAAAAUACCAGCCUCAGAAAGACGCAUCUAUGGCCUAGCAACCAAAAUUUUCUUGAGGUUAUUCUGCCCCUAACUCUGGUUUCUGCUUGGGGAUGUUUGUGGAACAAUAUGCAUAUGUAUGUAUAUGUGGGAUUUGUUACAAGAACACAACAUACCCCUCGACCUAUGCAAGAGCCAGAGUGUCUAAGCCCAACUUCUACUCCUCACUGUUAGUUAUCGUGGAGGCAUCAUUGCACAACCAAUAUGCCUGGUGGCUGGAGUAUAGACUGCUAAAUGGUAUUCAGCGAAGCAGGUCUAUAGUGACAUGAGAUUUCCUGGUACUUCUUCCUUAAUUAAAAAUUAUAUUCAUAGAUCAUGACAUCAGGUCAGUUCCAGUUCUUGCUGGGAACAAUAAUAGAAACAACAACCGUAAAGACUUCAGAGAACAGACCGGGCGUGGUGGCUUAUGCCUGUAAUCCUAGCACUUUGGGAGGCCAAGGUGGAUGGAUCACGAGGUCAGGAGAUUGAGACCAUCCUGGCUAACAUGGUGAAACCCCGUCUCUACU
Molecule: long non-coding RNA, 1692 nt
Organism: Homo sapiens (human)
Lineage: Eukaryota; Metazoa; Chordata; Mammalia; Primates; Hominidae
Gene: DBIL5P2
Product: diazepam binding inhibitor-like 5 pseudogene 2
Source: Ensembl